AUGAGCGAUGAGGUGUAUGA
This 20-nucleotide non-coding RNA is filed under the name Arabidopsis thaliana (thale cress). The record is from RNAcentral. Lineage: Eukaryota; Viridiplantae; Streptophyta; Magnoliopsida; Brassicales; Brassicaceae.